CAUACCUAUUCGAAGGGAUAGGGUCGGUUCGGCCGGAUUUCACACAGGUGUUGCAUGGCUGUCGUCAGCUCGUGUCGUGAGAUGUUGGGUUAAGUCCCGCAACGAGCGUAACCCUCAUCCUUAGUUACCAUCGGGUAAUGCUGGGGACUUUAAGGAAACUGCUAGUGAUAAACUGGAGGAAGGUGGGGAUGAUGUCAAGUCAUCAUGGCCUUUAUGGAGUGGGCUACACACGUGCUACAAUGGUGGCUACAAUGGGCUGCAAAGUCGCGAGGCUAAGCUAAUCUCUUAAAAGCCAUCUCAGUUCGGAUUGUACUCUGCAACUCGAGUGCAUGAAGUUGGAAUCGCUAGUAAUCGUGGAUCAGCAUGCCACGGUGAAUACGUUCUCGGGUCUUGUACACACUGCCCGUCACGCCAUGGGAAUUGGUUUCACUCGAAGCU
RNAcentral lists this ribosomal RNA (438 nucleotides) under Wolbachia endosymbiont of Cimex lectularius. RNAcentral's name for it is "bacterial SSU rRNA". It matches the Rfam family "Bacterial small subunit ribosomal RNA", at positions 992 to 1428 of the family's 1533-position model. The record is from RNAcentral. Lineage: Bacteria; Pseudomonadati; Pseudomonadota; Alphaproteobacteria; Rickettsiales; Anaplasmataceae.